CAAGGCAGGCGACUAUUCCGGUUGGCUGUCCGAGCAGGGAGGGCGCGUUUCGAGCGAGCUGAGUAGCUUUUCAGUGCUGAACUUCCCCGUGACGAGGAGGCACGUAUCAACGAGACACGCGCACCGCACGUCAUCGCAAGGUUGCGCGAAGGUCAUCUGCUGCUGGUUGGCGUUUUAUUGGACUGAUUGAAGAUCAGCGGCGGGGCGGCGGCGACGACCGGUGGACAUGCUCCAAUCGGGCACCCCUGUCAACAAGCGACCCCGCGUCGACGCGCGCGGUCCCAUCAGCAACGGUCCGAUGCCGCGGCCGCUGGUGGCCCUGCUCGACGGCAGGGACUGCUCGGUGGAAAUGCCCAUCCUCAAGGAUGUGGCCACCGUAGCGUUCUGCGACGCACAGAGCACCUCCGAGAUCCACGAAAAGGUGCUGAACGAGGCCGUCGGCGCCCUGAUGUGGCACGGCAUUAGUCUCACCAAGGACGACCUGGAAAAGUUCCGCGCGCUCAAGAUCAUCGUCCGUGUCGGCAGCGGCGUCGACAACAUCGACACCAAGGCGGCGGCCGAGCUCGGCAUUCACGUGUGUAACGUGCCCGGCUACUCUGUGGAGGAGGUGGCCGACUCGACCAUGUGUAUGAUCCUGAACCUCUACCGGCGGACCUACUGGCUUGCGCGCAUGGUGGCAGAAGACAAAAAGUUCAUGGGCCCAGACGCGAUCCGAGACGCGGCGAACGGUUCAGCGCGGAUCCGGGGCGACACGCUGGGUAUCGUGGGCCUCGGCAAGAUCGGUCAGGCGGUGGCGCUGCGGGCCAAGGCGUUCGGCUUCGCCGUCUACUUCUACGACCCGUACAUCCAGGACGGCAUCGACCGGGCGCUGGGCAUCACGCGCGUCUUCACACUCCAGGAGCUUCUGUACCAGUCAGACUGUGUUACCCUUCACUGCUCACUCAACGAGCACAACCACAGGCUCAUCAACGACUUCACCAUCAAACAGAUGAGGCCAGGCGCGUUCCUGGUGAACACAGCGCGCGGCGGUCUGGUGGAUGAAGAGGCCCUGGCUGCGGCGCUCAAAGAGGGCCGGAUCCGAGCAGCUGCCCUGGACGUGCACACCAACGAGCCCAACAACAUCUUCCUCGGUCCGCUGAAGGAGGUAAAGAACACCAUCAUCGCCACGCCGCACGCCUCGUACUACUCAGAGGCGUCGUUCAGCGAACUGCGAGAGAUGGCAGCCACAGAGAUCCGGCGCUACAUCGUCGGACACAACCUGCGCAACUGUGUCAACAAGGAGUACCUGAAGAUGGCCUCGUACGGCGACGGCCUGAACGGCGCCGGCGCGCCCGGCCUGCCGGCACCCGGCGCUCCCAGCAGCUACUACCCAGCCCAGAUGCAGCGGGGGAUGGGUGUGGCGGCGCACUCGACCUCCGCGCACGACGCCGCGUCGCUGUCCGUACCGUCCUCCCUUCCCCACCACCUCCCCACGGCGCAAGCGCGGCGGUGCGGCACUGCGGCUGCUGCCCGGACGGCGCCGGCCGCCCCGCUGCCGAUGGGCUGUCAGGAUUGGCAGCAGAGCCUGUCCGCCGGCUACCCCGGGACGUACCCGCCGCCGGGCUGGUGGUCCACCGGGCCGGAGCAGCCGCCGGCCGAGCCCCGGGCCUGGCCAGCGGCAUCCUACUCUCCGCUCUCCUCCCCGCCGCAGUCGCAGCAGCUGCAGCUUCAGCAACAGCAGCAGCUGCAAUAUCUGCUGCAGCUGCAUCAACAGCAGCAGUACCUUCAGCAGCAGCAGUACUAUCUGCAACAGCCGCUGCCGCCGCCUCCGUUCGGCCCACGGUUUCCGCCGCUUCCCCAGCUCCCGCCGCUGCCACCGCUGCCCGAUCUGCCUCCUGCUCGGCCCGAGCCGGAGCUUCAACUCCAGCCCCAACUCCAGCCGGAGCUGCAACUCCAGCCUCAGCUCCAGCCGGAGCCCCAGUACCCGGCUCAGGUCCAUCCUGCCGAGCCCGGAGACCUGGAGACGUCGGCAGACACCGGGCCGAGCACCCCAUCGACCCUGCCGGUUCCAGAGCGGCUCUGAGGGGGGUCGCCGCGGCCGCCCGAGCAACACUGCAGCGAGCCACAGUACCUGAGUCAAGGCAGCCGACCAGCACACAAGAGAGCCAUAGCUUAAUAAAGCCAGAGUCGUCGGACAUCCACUGAGCGCGCCCGCAGUGCCACCUGCCGGCGCUCGGACGAACUACACAUCCGCCGUCGCCCGAUGUGAUAGGCGACGUGGUGGGUGCGCCGGGAUCCGUCGGAACCACCGGAGACCGCGGGGAACCACUGGGAACCAGCGGCGCCGCGGCGGCCGCGACGAAUCGCCCCAGCGGCUGGCGCUGACUGGAGCGGGGAGCCGGGGACUGACAGUGCUGGACAUUUCUCCAUCGCACCGACCGGCGCGCCGGGGCCGGGCCGAGUGUACGCGUGCGUGUGUGUGUCUGUGUGCGUGUCUGCGUGCGUGAGAGGGCGGCGGGGGCGCGGCCGCCGCGAGUUGCCGAGCUCGGGAAGCUCCUGUACAAACCGCGCGUAUUUUUGCUGUGUCUGAUGCGUGAGCGAGGAGCGGGCCGCCGCGCGAGCGACGAGGCUCGCCGGCCGCCAGAGAGACGAGACGAGUCGCCACCGGGACGCCCUCAGAGAGCCCAGACGAACCGACGACGGCGGCGGCGGCGGGGCGGCAGCCGCCGGCGACCUCCGAGCGCGCCCGACCCGCCGCCGCCGCCCCAGCCCUGUGUAUAUUACCGUUCAUGGUCAUUUGGUCAUCAUGUAGAUCUUCCAUAAAUAAAGGAGACUUAACGUUGAUCUGUCUGUUGCGGGCGGCGCGGCCGGCCGGCCGGUUGGACGGCUGGGAAUGGUGUCGCCGCCGGUUUGGACUGUGUGCCGUGCCGGCAACGGUCGGCAUUGUGUAAUCUCGCGUCAAUGACCUGGAUCGAGGAAUAAAGCGCGCAGUGGUCGGAUGUUA
This is an RNA transcript of Amphibalanus amphitrite, 2983 nucleotides long. It is a transcript of the gene named C-terminal-binding protein-like, with no coding region annotated. The record is from RefSeq and is a predicted model, not a curated record. NCBI's taxonomy places the organism in Eukaryota, Metazoa, Arthropoda, Thecostraca, Balanomorpha, Balanidae. The transcript has 12 exons.